This 1275-nucleotide long non-coding RNA is filed under the name Panax ginseng (ginseng). Its description in RNAcentral is "long non-coding RNA (PGIN_LNC016689)". Lineage: Eukaryota; Viridiplantae; Streptophyta; Magnoliopsida; Apiales; Araliaceae. The record is from RNAcentral.
UUAAACCCUAGAAAAAAUUCCGAACUACCUCCGUUGCAUAAAUCCCAACCUCCAUUAUUUCUGUUCUCGCUUCCUCCGUCCGUCGACCUGACGAUCAGCAGCCAUGCCGAAGCAUUACAGUAAGUUCAGACAAAUGAUGUUUUUUCGUGUGUAUAUACAUAUAUCUACAUAUAAAUUCUCAAUUUGUUUCAUAUACAAAUCUAUUUGUACAUAACAGGGAAAGAAGAAGCUAAUGCCGCAAGAUAUAGAACGCACGCUGUAAAGUUCCCUCGAGUCAGUCUAUUACUCUUCAGGCAUCUUCUACAUCUCUAUCCUCUCUAUUAGUUUUACUCAAUUUUUGCUAAUUAUGUUGAUUUUUUCUAAUUGGGUUUUGAGAUUACAAUUUGUUUCGUCAAUAGUAUAGAUUAAUUGGGACAAUUUUUUUGUUACUUGGCUUCUCUUAGGGUUUAUAAUCUCUCAGGAAAAUGAAAUAUAUGGUUUAAUGUGUAUUGGAAAUUAUGUAUUCUCAAACGCAUAUUUCCCCGGGAACCAAAAAAGAAGGUGAAGGCAAAAUUCACACUUGUUAUCACAUGACAGAUAUUGUGUUCCUUAAACACGAGCCACUACUACCGAAGUUUAGAGAUAUGGGUGCCUAUGUUAGAAAGAUAAAAGAAAGCGGCAUCAAAAAGAACAGAGGAUGCUGAAAAAAUAACAUAUGUGAUUCAUUUUCACCCUCCCCAACUAGUAUUCAAUAAAAAGCACUGAGAUUUAGAGUCAUGAACAUACUGAAAAAGUAGUCCACCGGUGUGUUUCAUGGCAGACCUGCUUGAUCCUACUGGGAAGUUGACCUGACUUCCUAGAACUGCAGCGAUUAUAUAUAGAUGUAUUACUUCUGUUCAUAACAUAUUUUGUGCAGAAGCUCUUGUUCUUCUUCAUUUCCUACCUUUUCCUGGCGGUAAUUUGCCUUUGGUAGUUGAACAAUAACAUUUAGUGUCACGAAGAUGUUGAAGAUGUGGGGGCCCAUCAUGUUGUUGCUGUGCACCUAAAAAUCUUUAGGCAUUGGUAUUUGGAAUGUUUGUAAUUGUCAGUUCUUCAGGAGCAAUAUCACGACGAUCUCAAUCAGGAAGGUAAAGGUGAGCUGUUUCCUUUCAUCUCAAAUGUGAGGAAGGAGAAUGCUGAGGAUACAGGGGUUGGAAAAGAAAUUCUCCUUGAUCUGCAACAAGUUGCCGAGGAUGCUCAAAUUUGUCUGAGGUUUUGAUGUCACCUAAAAAGUGGGGGGUGUAUAAUGCCAUCCAG